Molecule: non-coding RNA, 893 nt
Organism: Hemiscyllium ocellatum (epaulette shark)
Lineage: Eukaryota; Metazoa; Chordata; Chondrichthyes; Orectolobiformes; Hemiscylliidae
Source: the annotation of a RefSeq genome assembly
AGGGACAGGAGCACACACCAUGAUUACACACAUCCAGCUGAUCUGGCCCCUGGCAUUCUGUGUCGCAGGUAUCAAUGGGGAGAUUAUCAUGACCCAGUCUCCCCCGGUGCUGUCAGUGGAACUGGGCCAGACUGCAACCAUCACCUGUACGGCCAGUCAAAGCAUUAGCAGCUACCUCAGUUGGUACCAGCAGCGAGAAGGUCAGAAACCCUCUCUCCUGAUCUAUGCUGCAACAUCUCGAUUCACAGGAGUCUCCGAGCGAUUCACCGGCAGUGGAUCAGGGACCAGUUACACCCUGACAAUCAGCAACGUUCAGAGUGAGGAUGUCGCUGACUAUUACUGUCAGCAGGAUUACAGCUGGUAUAGCAGCUCCGCUCAACACAGUGAUACAGAGCCAUACCAAAACCUCAAGACACACAGCACCACCUCAUGCACUGACACAUCAAUCAGUUAUAUAAAAUGUAUAAUAAUGGACACACAGUCCCACAGCCUGAACUGACACAUCCACAAUUAGAUACAAAUGAAACUGAACAAAUUACCCCAUGCUGGGAUUGUAACUGUCCAUGACACACUCCAGUCCCUGUGGUGUCCACCGCUCACUGAAGGCCUCAAGUUUCCCUCUGACACUCCAUGACCACGCGUGAAGAACAGCUGCAAGAUUUAAUAUCGAAAAAUAAAUUUCACAAAGCUCCCAAGCCCAGCUGGACACAGAGAGAGAUGGAGACAGAAAGACACAUGAAUGAGGGAGAGACAGAGAGGGGCAGAAAGAAGUUGAGAGUGAACGAGAGACUGGGAGACAGGGAGAGGUUGAGAGUGAUGGGGGGGAAGCAGAGAGCAGAGGUUUUUGUACAGCCUCUGCACUGGGAACUCUCACUGUGGGACACGUUCGGUAA